RNAcentral lists this ribosomal RNA (510 nucleotides) under bacterium enrichment culture clone ALO1_GLFRUDD03FKO1W. RNAcentral's name for it is "bacterial SSU rRNA". It matches the Rfam family "Bacterial small subunit ribosomal RNA", at positions 9 to 514 of the family's 1533-position model. The record is from RNAcentral.
GAGUUUGAUCGUGGCUCAGAUUGAACGCUGGCGGCAUGCCUUACACAUGCAAGUCGAGCGGAUGACGGGAGCUUGCUCCUUGAUUCAGCGGCGGACGGGUGAGUAAUGCCUAGGAAUCUGCCUGGUAGUGGGGGACAACGUUUCGAAAGGAACGCUAAUACCGCAUACGUCCUACGGGAGAAAGCAGGGGACCUUCGGGCCUUGCGCUAUCAGAUGAGCCUAGGUCGGAUUAGCUAGUUGGUGGGGUAAUGGCUCACCAAGGCGACGAUCCGUAACUGGUCUGAGAGGAUGAUCAGUCACACUGGAACUGAGACACGGUCCAGACUCCUACGGGAGGCAGCAGUGGGGAAUAUUGGACAAUGGGCGAAAGCCUGAUCCAGCCAUGCCGCGUGUGUGAAGAAGGUCUUCGGAUUGUAAAGCACUUUAAGUUGGGAGGAAGGGCAGUAAGUUAAUACCUUGCUGUUUUGACGUUACCGACAGAAUAAGCACCGGCUAACUCUGUGCCAGCCG